RNAcentral lists this transfer RNA (75 nucleotides) under Lysinibacillus fusiformis. RNAcentral describes it as "tRNA-Glu". It matches the Rfam family "tRNA". From Rfam's summary of the family: Transfer RNA (tRNA) molecules are approximately 80 nucleotides in length. Their secondary structure includes four short double-helical elements and three loops (D, anti-codon, and T loops). Further hydrogen bonds mediate the characteristic L-shaped molecular structure. tRNAs have two regions of fundamental functional importance: the anti-codon, which is responsible for specific mRNA codon recognition, and the 3' end, to which the tRNAs corresponding amino acid is attached (by aminoacyl-tRNA synthetases). tRNAs cope with the degeneracy of the genetic code in two manners: having more than one tRNA (with a specific anti-codon) for a particular amino acid; and 'wobble' base-pairing, i.e. permitting non-standard base-pairing at the 3rd anti-codon position. RNAcentral also lists the same sequence under 20 other names. Lineage: Bacteria; Bacillati; Bacillota; Bacilli; Caryophanales; Bacillaceae. The record is from RNAcentral.
GGCCCGUUGGUCAAGUGGUUAAGACACCGCCCUUUCACGGCGGUAACACGAGUUCGAAUCUCGUACGGGUCACCA